RNAcentral lists this ribosomal RNA (836 nucleotides) under Bacillus cereus. RNAcentral's name for it is "bacterial SSU rRNA". It matches the Rfam family "Bacterial small subunit ribosomal RNA", at positions 33 to 842 of the family's 1533-position model. Lineage: Bacteria; Bacillati; Bacillota; Bacilli; Caryophanales; Bacillaceae. The record is from RNAcentral.
ACCCUAAACAAUACGGGUCUAUAAUGCAGUCGAGCGAAUGGAUUAAGAGCUUGCUCUUAUGAAGUUAGCGGCGGACGGGUGAGUAACACGUGGGUAACCUGCCCAUAAGACUGGGAUAACUCCGGGAAACCGGGGCUAAUACCGGAUAACAUUUUGAACCGCAUGGUUCGAAAUUGAAAGGCGGCUUCGGCUGUCACUUAUGGAUGGACCCGCGUCGCAUUAGCUAGUUGGUGAGGUAACGGCUCACCAAGGCAACGAUGCGUAGCCGACCUGAGAGGGUGAUCGGCCACACUGGGACUGAGACACGGCCCAGACUCCUACGGGAGGCAGCAGUAGGGAAUCUUCCGCAAUGGACGAAAGUCUGACGGAGCAACGCUGCGUGAGUGAUGAAGGCUUUCGGGUCGUAAAACUCUGUUGUUAGGGAAGAACAAGUGCUAGUUGAAUAAGCUGGCACCUUGACGGUACCUAACCAGAAAGCCACGGCUAACUACGUGCCAGCAGCCGCGGUAAUACGUAGGUGGCAAGCGUUAUCCGGAAUUAUUGGGCGUAAAGCGCGCGCAGGUGGUUUCUUAAGUCUGAUGUGAAAGCCCACGGCUCAACCGUGGAGGGUCAUUGGAAACUGGGAGACUUGAGUGCAGAAGAGGAAAGUGGAAUUCCAUGUGUAGCGGUGAAAUGCGUAGAGAUAUGGAGGAACACCAGUGGCGAAGGCGACUUUUCUGGGUCUGUAACUGACACUGAUGCGCGAAAGCGUGGGGAGCACACAGGAUUAGAUUCCCCUGGUAAUCCACGCCGUAAACGAUGAGUUGCUAAGUGUUAGAGGGUUUUCCGCCCCUUUA